Pogona vitticeps (central bearded dragon) is the source of this 480-nucleotide non-coding RNA. The record is from RefSeq and is a predicted model, not a curated record. NCBI's taxonomy places the organism in Eukaryota, Metazoa, Chordata, Lepidosauria, Squamata, Agamidae.
CUCUGGAGAGCUGAAACUGCCCCUGUGAUUUAUGCAUUCAUAUCUCAAAGCUUUAAGGCUUUCCUCAAAGGCAGUUUUCUUUCUCGGCCCAAGUGGCUGGAUCCCUUCGGUUCAGAGAUGCAGCCUGGAGGUCUAGCAUCUUCCCAGGUGAAAAAGCACGUGCGUGUGUGUGCGCGCUGACAACAAUGGAGUCUCUCCAACCGCAACGCGAGAAGGGGAGUGAACCCGGGCGGAGCUUCCCUAGCCCGGGAACAUCAAACCCCGCUGAUUAGCCGGCGUGCAAACAACCAGCCAUCAUCUCCACGUGAGCUGACUAACUGCAGAUGCCCCACCGAUCACAUAGGACUCCAUAAUUGCCUUCUGUUGUAACUGCACUCCCUGGAUCCGUGCAGGUGUAAGGAAUGCAGGCAUCAUGAGAAACUAGCCAAGAGCCAAGGUCAAGAUAGCAUUUUGUUUCACAGCAGUCCGAGAAGUCUCUGC